CUAGUUGGUGAGGUAACGGCUCACCAAGGCGACGAUGCGUAGCCGACCUGAGAGGGUGAUCGGCCACACUGGGACUGAGACACGGCCCAGACUCCUACGGGAGGCAGCAGUAGGGAAUCUUCCGCAAUGGACGAAAGUCUGACGGAGCAACGCCGCGUGAGUGAUGAAGGUUUUCGGAUCGUAAAGCUCUGUUGUUAGGGAAGAACAAGUGCCGUUCAAAUAGGGCGGCACCUUGACGGUACCUAACCAGAAAGCCACGGCUAACUACGUGCC
This 273-nucleotide ribosomal RNA is filed under the name Bacillus sp. (in: firmicutes). RNAcentral's name for it is "Bacillus sp. (in: Bacteria) partial 16S ribosomal RNA". It matches the Rfam family "Bacterial small subunit ribosomal RNA", at positions 245 to 509 of the family's 1533-position model. Lineage: Bacteria; Bacillati; Bacillota; Bacilli; Caryophanales; Bacillaceae. The record is from RNAcentral.